GGGUAAGUAUGGUGGUCGUGCCACCGGUACGUACUGGUCUCACUGAUUCCUCCUUCCUGAAGAACCGUAAUGCCAUUAAAUUGGUGUUGCGGGGAAACAGGACUGUUACUUUGAAAAAAUUAGAGUGUUUAAAGCAAGCUAACGCUUGAAUACAUUAGCAUGGAAUAAUGAAAUAGGACGAUCGAUCCUAUUUUGUUGGUUUCUAGGAUUGACGUA
RNAcentral lists this ribosomal RNA (216 nucleotides) under Glomeromycotina sp. RNAcentral describes it as "partial small subunit ribosomal RNA". The stretch from base 40 to 216 matches the Rfam family "Eukaryotic small subunit ribosomal RNA", at positions 686 to 864 of the family's 1831-position model. Lineage: Eukaryota; Fungi; Glomeromycota. The record is from RNAcentral.